CACUUUGACAUCUCUUUUACCAUAACAUUAUGCCUCCUUUCCGUUUUAACAUUCCUUUCUUCUCCUACGGCUCUCCUUCUCGUCCCUCUUCAUCAGGGACUUCUUCCCCAUCACCACCCCCACCUCCUCCUACUUCUUCCCGCCCUCCUUUUCGCCCUGGUGGCAUCGCUCAUCCGUCAAAGCCAGCCACGUCGCAAGAAACAAAGCCCAAGGUGUCACCUUCGCUUUCUAGGUCUAAAAGCAAUGUUGCGGCCACUGUAGCUUCUUCUUCCGCGUCUCAGUUGCCAUCCCGAGGCGCAGCCACGCCAUCCCGGCUGGCGAAACAGAGUAACCAAUCUGGUUCUCCGGUGAAGAAACCUGAGUCUCUGAGGGCAGAGGAGCAAAAGGUGGCGAUGAAAGAUAAAUCAUCAAGAGAAGUUAGAAAAGAAGCUGGUGAGAACAGCAAUCCGGUAGUAGAGAAGCCUCCGGCUGCACGUUCAGAACAAGAAGAAGCUCAGGAGCAGAGAAGGAGAGAAGUAGAGAAACUUGCAGUGGUAGAUAGGGAUUCAAAAACAGCUCAGGGACAGCAGAAGAGCAAAGAAACCGAGAAACUUACACCGGAAGAAAAGAAGAAAGGUCUUAGUGAGGAUAUGGAAGAGAGAACUAAAACAGCUCAGGAACAGCAGAAGAGCAAAGAAACCGAGAAACUUGCAGUGGAAGAAAAGAAGAAGGGUUUUCAAAAGGACACUGAAGAGAAAACAAAAACAGCUCAAGAAACGGAGAAACUUGCGAUGGAAGAAAAAGAAAAAGUUCUUCAAGACCACAUGGAAGAGAAUUCAAAGACAUCUCAGGAACAACAGAGGAGAAAGGAAACCGAGAAACUUGUGGCUCAAGAAAAGAAAAAAGUUCUUCACAAGGACAUGGAAGAGAAUUCAAAAGCAGCUCAAGAACAACAGAAGAGCAAACUUGCAGUGCAAGAAAGACAUACAGCUCUUAAAACGGUGGGUACAGAAGAUGCGACGCAAAGCAAAACCACACAAAAUAUCACCGCAGCAAAAGAAGGAUCAUCUUCAAUGAGCAGAAAGAUCAAAGAAGACAUCAGAGACGGACUCAGCAAGCUUACUUGGGGAAAAAGCAACGGUGACAACGAGAAAUCCGUGAGUGUCUUCACUCUAACAGGCGAAAACAGAGGAGCCAACAUGGCAAUAGGUUCUGAAAAAGACAAGAAAGACGGUGAGGUUCACAUCCGCCGUGGGUACAAAACUAAUCCAGACGAGAGCCCUGAGACCACAGCCACGGAGACCGAAGGAGGCACAAGACCCUACCCUAAAGACGUGGAAGAAGACGCUAGGGUUAGGGCAUACGUGAACGGAAACAGUCAGGGGGUCAACAACUCGAUUAUAUGCGAUAGUUCAGUGCAACAGAACGAUCCAGGCAUUCAUAUGAAUUUGAGGUUUGAAAAAUCAAAGGAAAAGGAUGAAACUAUUAGUCCACCGGAGAAAAAACCGGCGACGGAGAAGGUGUUGAAGUAUGAGCCGAGGGUGAGGAGGAGAUGCUUGAGAGGGUUGCUAGCAGAGUCGAGUCAGUCGGAUCCGGAGAAUCCUUUGAAGCCUAGGAGACAUGGUUGCCGCUUUACCUGUAAAGACAAAGAUAUUGAGAACACUUAAUUAUGUAAAUAUACUUUUAUUAAAUUAUGUGAAUACUUAAUUAUGUAAAUGCACCAUUUGAUCAUUGGCAAAAGGGAACAGAACAUGGAGUAUGAGUUCUUACAAAUGUUGUUGUUUAUUCAAUGAAUCGCACCAUUAAAUGUUGAAAACGUGGAGCGUCUUUUUUUUGGAAUUUUAGAGAAUUUCCUCUCCAACAAGAAUGUACAUCUUUUACUUUAACACCACCAAAAGAGUCUUUGAAACUUGUGUUAUCUAGAAGCAUUGACCACCAAAAACAGGACUUUUCUCGCAAUGCUUUUCGUUUUUCUUUUUUUGAUAUUUCUAGAAAAAGAGUAAUUUCAAAUAUUUAACUAAUUUUAGUGAAAGGAUCAUUGCAUUACGCGAAAUACUGCAUAGAAAGAAAAAAAACAGAAUGUUGUUUUAAAAAAAAUUGAUGUUCUAGAAAAGUGAUUUAAUUUGUUUAAAUAAUUUAUCAAAAAGGAUACAUGAAUAAGCUGAAUAGUGAAUACACAAAGGAAAAAUAGAAAAAUCAAUCGCAUGGCGUAUGAAUCGGAAAGUAUGUAAUGUCAGAAAUGAUAUAGUUACCGUUAUGAAAAAACUAUUGUGGUUUCUCUAAUGCUACUACUAUUAGCUGUGCAGGUCCGGUUUUUUUAUUCUUUCACAUGCCGUGAGAAUCUUUAUCUGGUCAUGGAGUACCUGAAUGGUGGAGAUCUCUUUUCCUUGUUGAGAAAUCUUGGUUGCUUAGACGAAGACAUGGCUCGCAUUUACAUUGCAGAAGUUGUAAGGCCUUUUCUAACACCUCAAAUUUUCUCUCCACAUGAUAUAAGUUGAACUUUAAUCAAAUGCUUUUGUCAGGUUCUUGCAUUGGAGUAUUUGCAUUCUGUAAAUAUUAUUCAUAGAGACUUAAAGCCAGACAAUCUGUUGAUCAAUCAGGAUGGUCAUAUCAAGGUUGAUAUUUAUUGAUUUUAAAGCUUUGCAUUACAAUCAGAAGAUCCGUUCAAUUGACUAGAAUUCGUUAACGAGACUAGAUUUUAUAGAAUCAUAUUGAAUAUUUGACGAUACAUUUCGUACCAUUCAGAUUUGGUUAGAGGCCACAUUUUCUCACAGAAUCUGCUCCCUUGUGAUACAGUUGACGGAUUUUGGGCUUUCCAAGGUUGGUCUUAUCAACAGCACAGAUGACUUAUCAGUUGAUGCAUCACUAGGAAACAGUGAAUUUUUCGCAGAGGAUGGAAGACCUCAACAUUCACAAGGAAAAGAUAGUCGUAAAAAACAUGAAGUUGUUGGAACACCUGAUUAUCUUGCGCCUGAAAUACUUCUUGGAAUGGGUCAUGGUUAGUAUUUUCAUUAGGGGAUAUGCACCAAGCAUGAAUCUGUUCAUGGACUUAUAUAAAUCAUUCACUACAGGUAAAACAGCUGAUUGGUGGUCAGUAGGUGUUAUUCUCUUUGAGGUUCUGGUGGGUAUUCCUCCUUUCAACGCAGAAACCCCACAGGUAAAUGUUUUUCUUUUAAUCUAAACUCAUCAGGUAUUAAUGUGUUUAACAUUUUUUAAUUGAUGUGUUUGCAGCAAAUUUUUGAAAAUAUAAUCAACAGAGAUAUACCAUGGCCUAAUGUGCCAGAGGAGAUAUCUUAUGAAGCUUAUGAUCUGAUCAACAAGUAAGAUCCCACACUUUCUGCAAUAAAUCUCAGAAAACCGAUCAUAAGUGUAACAAGAACAUGUUAGUUGUGGUAACGUUGUCUAUUUAUGUUCUUGUUACAGGCUGUUAACAGAAAAUCCUGUCCAAAGACUAGGGGCAACUGGAGCUGGAGAGGUAAAGCUCUAUCAGUUCAUCCCCUAGCUAACAUUUUUCUAUAAAGCUGGAUAUCAAUUUUCUGAAAAUCUAUUUACAGGGAAACGGCAUAAUUUUUUCAAAGAUAUUAACUGGGACACGCUUGCCAGGCAAAAGGUGCUUCUCAUAUUCUAUUAAGUGCGUUGAGAAAAAAAAAGAAUCUCUUACUAACCUCAGUUUUGUGUAUCUUUUGUAACAGGCAAUGUUUGUACCAUCAGCUGAACCACAAGACACUAGCUAUGUCAUGAGCAGAUAUAUAUGGAACCCGGAAGACGAAACUGUUCAUGGAGGCAGUGAUUUUGAUGACCUUACUGACACAUGCAGCAGCAGCUCCUUCAAUACACAUGAGGAAGAUGUAUGUCUCUCUCUCUUUUUUUUUUUGUUUACUUCCAUUUCUCUUGAUUGCGUCCAUAACAAAUGUUUCAAUAUUGUAAAAACAGGGGGAUCAGUGUGGUAUCUUAGCAGAAUUUGGAAGUGGACCGAAUCUUGCUGUGAAGUAUUCCUUCAGCAACUUUUCUUUUAAGGUCAGUUAGAUUCCUGUGCUCUCUAGAUCUCUCUCUUUUUUUGGGCUCUGUCUUUUAAUCAGUGGCGGAGCCACAUAGAGUAAGGUGGGGGCCAUUGAACCCAACAAAAUUAGAAAAUUUAGUGUAAAUUAUUAGAACUAAUCUAUAUGCCCUCAUUCUAAAUAUUUUAGUUUGAUGUCUUUGCCCCCAUCAAAAAUAAUUUUUGCCUCCGCCACUGACCGCAACUAAUUUUCUUUUAUUCCGUUUUUUUUUUGUCAACUUUUUUUUUCUUUUAUUCCGUUUAUGUUACAAUAUUGAAAAAAAGUAAUGUUUGGUAAAAAAAAAAGUAGAAGAAACUAUUGUGUUGUGUUGUGUUUUGAAGAUCCAACUAAACACAUUACUGAACAUGUAAAGGCAAAUCCAAAACGAAGCAUUUAAUCAAUAUUCCAAAGUUACAUGAAUAAUUUUUCUGGACAAACGAGACAUAUAUAGGCUUGUUAAAGUGAAAAAACAAAAUAUAAGUAGCUAGUUAAUUAUAUACCUCGUGUUGAAGUCAUUGAUGCCUCUGGAGUUAGAUUCGAAUGUCUUGUAGUUGGGCAAAGGGACACGACCAGUUUCGAUGUUGAUGAGAUCUUCGACGAGGAUGUCAUAGUGACGCUUCACUUCCUCUGCAGAUUUCCCUCCGACAGCUUUUGCUACAUUGUGCCAUCGGUCUGGUGUGUCCUUGUCGUAAACUGCCAAGGCUCUCUCGAACAUCUUGUUCUGCUUAAACGUCCAUGACGAGCUUCUAGAGUUUGACGCCAUUAAUGUUACUUGAGGAGAGAGUGAGAACGAAAUAGCAAUAGAGGGUUCCUUAUAAGGAGGAGAAAAAGAGAGUUCUUAGAUUCUGCAAGUUGGAGAGUUUUUUAAAAUUUUAUUUUAUUUAAUUAUUCUUUUCAUGUUAUACUAUCCAAAUUUAAAUAAAUGACAUUUUGUGACACAUUAACGUUCAUAUAUAUGGUAUAGAUACAGCCAACACUGGUGUAGUAUUUUCUGAUACCUUUUUAAUUUGAAAAGUGGAAACAAUGUAUCGAUAUCUCAAGUUUUUAAAGAAUGUAUUGAAUUUUAUGUUUUUUUUGUGAAAGAAUGAUAUAGGAAAAAAGUGAGAGCUAUGUAAUAUAUAGUCCUAUAUACUCGUAUGUUCGCGCCUAAACAUGCAUUUAACCGUGGAAGCACCGUAGCCUAAGGUUUAAAAGUUUCUACAUCCGGGUUCAAAUCUCAGGCUAUGCAAUUUCUUGCAGAUCGCGCAUUAUAAGAGGUCCAUGUUUCAAUUCCCGGAGAAAGCUAUUUAUUAAACAAUUAUGCAGACUAUGAAAAAAAAGGCUUACAAGCGAUCUUCAAUAUGGUGCAAAUAAAUCCGGUCACGCGUAGGUCUUCGUAGGACGGCUCAGGUGAUGCAGUUAGGCGUAGAUCCUCAUAAGACAUGUAGUAUUGUCGGUUGUCGAAUCGUCUAUGUAAUCUUUCUCAUAAUUGUAAUACUAUAAUAAAUCAGCAUUAAAAAAUCAUGCAUUUAACUAAUAAGUGAUAGUUUGUAAAAUAAAAAUUUAAGCAACUGAAAACUAGGAUGAUGUUAUAAGCUUACACGUUAAAGCAAAAUUAUUGAACUGAACUAUCAUAUCUGACAACCAGUUUAUACGUAGGGUUGAAGUUGGUAAAUUGAACAACUUGGCCUAAUACUAUGUGAUUAUUAUAAACAAAAGAUUAUCGCGAUGCUAUAUUAAUAUAAGUGCCACUACUUGUUUUCUUAUAUACAUGUAUUACGUAUAUAUUAUUUCACAGUUUUCGAUAUCAUAAUGUAAGCCAUCUAUAUACUUUGCGUGAUGAUUGAUAGGUUUAAGAAUAUAUUAGUAGACAAUCAUAGUGGAAGUAUAAUACAUCCAUAGUAUUAUUGGAAUGAAAAAGGUUUUGAAAUGGAGACGACUGGCCCAUUAUAAGAAAAUGGUAAGAUAUGCCAAUACUUAUAUUCUCCAAAGCUUAAUCGUAUGUUCAAAAAUGCUUAUGACUAAAUAAUGAUAAGCCAUUAUUUGAGCAUCGUUUCUGGCUAAGUUUACCAUCAUAUUUAUCCAAAGCAUAUUACAAGAAAUCAAGAUGUUUGAUAUGGUAGCUUAAAGUUCUCUAUUCUCAGCAUCAACUAAUAAUUAAUAACUCUAAAAAUGCUAAAUUCGAACAAAUAAAGGAUUCUAUAUGUCAUCAUCAUCUUCAUCACCUUAACCAAAGUUGGUGGAUAUUUUUUUUCCUACAAAUCAUAUUCGUUACCAAUUCGAAAUGAUCAAAGAUAAAACAUUAUUCUCCGGGACCUUGAAUCUCAUGACUUUAUGUGUGAUGUAAUUAAUGGAAGAGAGCCAUUUGGAUGACAAGCAAAUUUACAAGAACCACCAAAACUUUCAUGCAAAAGAAUAAGGACAUAAGGGAUAUUAUCGUUUCCUUUUGUGAUAAAAUUCCUAUAUCCAAAUCUAAUCUAUUUUCUGUUACAUAUACUUCAUGUCUAAUGUCGACCAAAUGACAAAAUAAAUUAAUAAUUUUCAUGUCUAACAAUAACGUUAAAGUUGUCCAAUUUCAUUGGUAUCCCAUUUUAUUAGUUAGAGUCAAAUGUUUUUUUGGAAGAGAAAUAUUGGUUAUUUUAGAUUCGACUCACAGUACAAAAAAAAAUCAGAUAUACUCCAUUGUAAUUAGGGCUGGAUCGGAUAUCCAAAUUUUUUAGAAAUAUUUGUCAUUUGCUUCGUAUAUUACGGAUACCAAUUUUUUCGAUUUGCUUUGCUCCAGAUAUCCGUAACAUACAAAGAUAAAAAAUUUAUAGGUAUUUGUGAUUUGCUUUGUACAUUAUAGAUAUCAAAUUUUUCUAUUUGUUUUGCUCCGGAUAUUUGUAACAUACUUAUAGAUGUAUCUUUUCAUUUUAGUUAAUACAAAUAAUCUAGAAAAAAAUUAGGUUAAUUUUUUUUAUAAAUAUUUUUACAUGAUCUAUAAUUAAAAAUAAAAAAAUAAAAGAAGCAAUGAAUAUGUUUGUAAAUUUUAAAAUUAGUUAUAAAAAGACAAACUUAAGAAAAAGUUAUAGUUAUCAUAAUUUUUUUCCUUUUUAAUACUUUUAUAAGUAAUAAUGUGAAUAAAAUUAAUUAAAUAAUGCGUUAAAAUAACAAUUACAGAAGCUCAUACAUUUAAAAUUACAUUUAAAAUUACUUCAUGUAGAUUGUUGCUUUAGAAACAUUACACAAAUAUUUCAAGAUCUAGAAUUUUGUUGAAAUAUUUAGGUUCUUUAUAAAUUAAUCACGAGUCGAAAUAUGGUUAAGGCUCUUAUACUCAAUGCAGUUCUAAAUGAAGAAUUUUGAUAAAGGUCAGGGUUCAUAUCUGCAAAUAUAGAGAGCUGGAACCCAAGUCUCUGUACCAUUUUUUUUCUCCCAAAUCUGUCAAUAGAUAGGCUUAUAUUUCAAGCUAAAAAACAUUGAGAAGCCUGAAAUAUGUCAGUCACCGUUUAUCAGAAUUAUCUAAAAAUCUCUUUAUGAGAAUAUUUUUCCCCAUUAAACUAUGGUUUUGGUUUGCAUUAGUAUGUUGAAUAUCUUGAACACCUGUUUCAAGAAGACUCAAAAGAAAUUAUCUUGUAUUCAGUUCAAGUUUCCUGUUUGUUCUUUGCUUCUUCACAAAGGUCUCUGUAAACCUAAGGAGCAAAUUCACAAGUUGAAUAGAGAUACCAAAGAUAACUUCAAUGGAUAAAACGAUCACUUUUCUUUACCUGCAUGAAAAGUUAUCUUUUCCUCUUCACACACAAAGCCACACAUAUACAUACAAACACAGACGCAAAUUAAGACACACCAAAUAUUUAUAUUUACUCUUUUUAACAUUUUCACCCACUUUUUAGUCAAAAAAAAAACAUUUUCACCCACUUUGACAUCUCUUUUACCAUAACAUUAUGCCUCCUUUCCGUUUUAACAUUCCUUUCUUCUCCUACGGCUCUCCUUCUCGUCCCUCUUCAUCAGGGACUUCUUCCCCAUCACCACCCCCACCUCCUCCUACUUCUUCCCGCCCUCCUUUUCGCCCUGGUGGCAUCGCUCAUCCGUCAAAGCCAGCCACGUCGCAAGA
This 8085-nucleotide long non-coding RNA is filed under the name Brassica napus (rape). RNAcentral describes it as "long non-coding RNA (BNAP_LNC006422)". Lineage: Eukaryota; Viridiplantae; Streptophyta; Magnoliopsida; Brassicales; Brassicaceae. The record is from RNAcentral.